UACGUAGGGGGCAAGCGUUAUCCGGAUUUACUGGGUGUAAAGGGGGCGCAGACGGCGAUGCAAGCCAGGAGUGAAAGCCCGGGGCCCAACCCCGGGACUGCUCUUGGAACUGCGUGGCUGGAGUGCAGGAGGGGCAGGCGGAAUUCCUGGUGUAGCGGUGAAAUGCGUAGAUAUCAGGAGGAACACCGGUGGCGAAGGCAGCCUGCUGGACUGCAACUGACGUUGAGGCCCGAAAGCGUGGGGAGCAAACAGG
This 253-nucleotide ribosomal RNA is filed under the name uncultured bacterium. Its description in RNAcentral is "partial 16S ribosomal RNA". It matches the Rfam family "Bacterial small subunit ribosomal RNA", at positions 524 to 776 of the family's 1533-position model. The record is from RNAcentral.